Molecule: long non-coding RNA, 1369 nt
Organism: Pongo pygmaeus (Bornean orangutan)
Lineage: Eukaryota; Metazoa; Chordata; Mammalia; Primates; Hominidae
Exons: 3
Source: RefSeq, a predicted model, not a curated record
UCUCUCAUCCCACCUGGUGAGAUAUACCUACAGGUGUGGAGGGGCAGGCCACCCCUUCAUCGGGCACCCAACGUGGGGACUUUCUCUAGGGUGAAGGUACGCUAAGAACGUGAACAUUCAGGACAGCCGACGACAGAUUCCCGAGUACAUCCACGGUCAGCCUUGCGGAGAAAAUCAGCUUCCUGUUCAGGUAUCUACAAAUUACAGAAGAAGUUGCCAUCCACCAAGGAAGCGGAGCCACUGACCUGGGCCCAACUAAAAAAGCUGACACAGUUAGCUAAAAAAAGCCUGAAGAACACAAGGGUAACACAAACUCCAGAGAAUAUGCUGCUUGCAGCUGUAAUGAUUGUAUCAAUGGUGUCUACAGGUGCAUCCAGCAGCUUCGGAGAGACAGCGACAAACAAGAAUGAGCCAUGAUGACAAUGGCAUUUUGUCAAAAAGAAAAGGGGGAUGUGCAGGGAAAAGAGAGAGAGAUCAGACUAUUACUGUGUCUAUGUAGAAAGGGAAGACAUAAGAAAUUCCAUUUUGACCUGUACCUUAAACAAUUGCUUUGCUGAAAUGUUGUUAAUUUGUAACUUUGCCCCAGCCACUUUGACCCAACUUUGAGCUCACAAAAACAUGUGUUGUAUAGAAUCAAGGUUUAAGGGAUCUAGGGCUGUGCAGGAUGUGCCUUGAUAACAAAAUGUUUACAGACAGUAUGCUUGGUAAAAGUCAUUGCCAUGCUCUAGUCUCAAUAAACCAGGGGCACAAUGCACUGCGAAAAGCUGCAGGGACCUCUGCCGUGAAAAGCUGGGUAUUGUCCAAGGUUUCUCCCCAUGUAAUAGUCUGAAAUAUGGCCUUGUGAGAUGAGAACAACCUGACCGUCCCCCAGCCCGACACCCAUAAAGGGUCUGUGCUGAGGUGGAUUAGUAAAAGUGGAAAUCCUCUUGCAGUUGAGAUAGAGGAAGGUCACUGUCUCCUGCCCGCCCCUGAGAACGGAAUGUCUCGGUAUAAAACCCGACUGUACAUUUGUUCAAUUCUGAGAUAGGAGAAAAACUGCCCUAUGGUGGGAGGUGAGACAUGUUGGCAGCAAUGUUGCCUUGUUAUUCUUUACUCCACUGAGAUGUUUGGGUGGAGAGAAACAUAAAUCUGGCCUAUGUGCACAUCCAGGCAUAUACCUCGCCUUGAACUUAAUUAUGACAUAGAUUAUUUUGCUCACAUGUUUUUUUGCUGACCUUCUCUUUAUUAUCACCCUGCUCUCCUACCACAUUCCUUUUGCUGAGAUAAUGAAAAUAAUAAUCAAUAAAAACUGAGGGAACUCAGAGACCGGUGCCGGUGCAGGUCCUCUGUAUGCUGAGUGCCGGUCUCCUGGGCCCACUGUUGUUUCUCU